GAUGAACGCUGGCGGCGUGCUUAAUACAUGCAAGUCGAGCGGAGAAACGCCUUGCUUUCUGGUCUGAUGGUAGCAGCGGCGAACUGGUUAGUAAGUCGUUAACCACCCUCUCCCUUUUGCAUAACAACGGCAAGACGGUGUUACUACCGCGUGAUAUUUUGGACCGCUCGCUUCAUGGGUGUGGGACGGUUUUUCUUUCGCUUGUGGAUGGGUCCGCGCCCUAUCAGCUUGUUGGUAGGGUGAUGGCCUACCAAGGCGGUGAAGAGUAGCCGGCCUGAGAGGGUGGACGGUCACAGUGGGAAUGAGACACGGCGCAGACUACGACGGGAGGCAGUAGUGGGGAAUAUUGAACAAUGGGAGCAAGGCUGAUGCAGCGACGCGGGGUGAGGGAUGGAGGCCUUCGGGUUGUGAACCUCUUUCGCCAGUGAAGAAGGGCUGACUCGUUUGUGGGUGGGUUGACGGUAGCUGGAUAAGAAGCGCCGGCUAACUACGUG
Molecule: ribosomal RNA, 494 nt
Filed under: uncultured bacterium
Lineage: Bacteria
Description: partial 16S ribosomal RNA
Rfam family: Bacterial small subunit ribosomal RNA
Source: RNAcentral